CCUGUGAUAUUUGCCAGGAACUGUGGGGUGAAGUCAAUCCCCUUCUGGUCAAGUAAUUUGAUGGCAAAUUGAUGGCAGUCAAUUUCAUGCCUUUUCAUACUUUUCUGCUUGUCAUGCAGUCAGCUCUUGUAGUAGAGCAUGGUGCUUUGCCAUUGAUGGUCACUGCACAGUCUAUAUGCUUUUCCUAAUAUUUUUUGUCAUUUGUUAUUGAAAAACAUCACCAGAAAAUUAUUAAAACAAUACCUGAAUAUAUCCCCUUGUAGAUAUUGGAAAACGUAAAUGUAAAAGGACCUCCACUGAAGCUUAUUAAAACCUGCAGAGGAACUGUUAGUUUCAAUGAAGUAGGCUGAAUCAAUGAACAUCCUAGUUUCAAUGAACUAGGAUGAAUCAGGCUCUAUUGUAAGUAGCUAAGUGCUCUCGGUAAGGUUCUGUGCUCAUUUGAGUCAAUUGUAAUGGCUGAUGGCUUCAAUGAGUUUCACCUGAUCAACAGGUGUUGCAGAUUACUUCAUUGUACAUAUUUUGCUGAAGACAAUUACUGAGGAUUAUUUCUUCUUCCUCAGUCUGCAAGCACUUCCUCAGGUUAGGGAGAAUUUUUGUUUUGUUUUGUUUUGUUUUCAAAAUGGUUCUGUUUAUAGUGCUCUAGGAAGUGCUACCUGUGUUACAGGUGUUGCUUACAAAGAUGAAGAGCUUUGACUCUAGGUCAAGAAAGAGCUACAGAGAAAGUUGUCAGAAGCUAGUUGGCAUGUGCAUAAGGUCUGUUAUUCAAAAGAAAAGUCUUCUAAAGGAAAGAGCCUGAGAGUCAAGAAUAUGAAUCAGAUCAAAUGAUAUAUUUGAAGAGAAAAGAAUGAGUUAUACCAGCCAUUAUGGUUCUCCAGCACUGUGUCUAUGGUGCAUUCGCUAUCUGUUUCAAACACAAGUAGCCCAGCAGAAAAAUGUAACAUGCUAUAAUUUCUCCAUGCCAAGAAAAGGUAAGAGGGAGGUUCUUGUGGAAAAACUCUUAAAUAGAGAGUGACAUUUUUACGAUGAGGAAUGUUGCAUUUAACUUGAUAAUAAACUUCCUUGAUGUUGGUUUUCA
This 1075-nucleotide long non-coding RNA is filed under the name Anser brachyrhynchus (Pink-footed goose). Its description in RNAcentral is "lncRNA (ENSABRG00000008909.1)". Lineage: Eukaryota; Metazoa; Chordata; Aves; Anseriformes; Anatidae. The record is from RNAcentral.